RNAcentral lists this transfer RNA (74 nucleotides) under archaeon. Its description in RNAcentral is "tRNA-Lys". It matches the Rfam family "tRNA". From Rfam's summary of the family: Transfer RNA (tRNA) molecules are approximately 80 nucleotides in length. Their secondary structure includes four short double-helical elements and three loops (D, anti-codon, and T loops). Further hydrogen bonds mediate the characteristic L-shaped molecular structure. tRNAs have two regions of fundamental functional importance: the anti-codon, which is responsible for specific mRNA codon recognition, and the 3' end, to which the tRNAs corresponding amino acid is attached (by aminoacyl-tRNA synthetases). tRNAs cope with the degeneracy of the genetic code in two manners: having more than one tRNA (with a specific anti-codon) for a particular amino acid; and 'wobble' base-pairing, i.e. permitting non-standard base-pairing at the 3rd anti-codon position. The record is from RNAcentral.
GGGCCCGUAACUCAGUCUGGUAGAGUGGCUGGCUCUUAACCAGUUUGUCGCGGGUUCAAAUCCCGUCGGGCUCA